AUUCUAUUAGUAUAUAAGUAUAUUUAACUUCCAAUUAAAA
This 40-nucleotide transfer RNA is filed under the name Kikihia longula. Its description in RNAcentral is "partial tRNA-Gly". The record is from RNAcentral. Lineage: Eukaryota; Metazoa; Arthropoda; Insecta; Hemiptera; Cicadidae.